AUGAUGACAGCGGCACGCAUCUUGGUGAGGCAACGGCCACGGGCGUGCCCUCCUCUGCGCUUCCUCUUGAAGUACCCUCUGCUGCCGCGUGCUCGUCCUUCGUGUGUUGCCACACCGUGGAGACGGGUACACGAACUAGGCGGGCCACGGGACGACAGCUGCUCGAGCACCCACCUCGUGAGGAGGGGUUGA
RNAcentral lists this ribosomal RNA (192 nucleotides) under Triticum aestivum (bread wheat). RNAcentral describes it as "partial small subunit ribosomal RNA". Lineage: Eukaryota; Viridiplantae; Streptophyta; Magnoliopsida; Poales; Poaceae. The record is from RNAcentral.